UGGUUCUGGCAUCGAUGAAGAACGCAGCAAAAUGCGAUAAGUAAUGUGAAUUGCAGAAUUUAGUGAAUCAUCGAAUCUUUGAACGCACAUUGCGCCUUCCGGUAUUCCCGGAGGCAUGCCCGUCCGAGCGUCAUUUCACCACUCAAGCCCAGCUUGGUCUUGGGCGCUGUGGUCUUCCGCGCGCCUUGAAUCUCUGCCUCUGCUGUCUGCCACUGAGCGUAGUAUCUAUUGUUCAAUCGCUAUAGUGUGUACAGGCGGCGGCCGGCCCCGUUUGGGAUGUAUAAUUCGAAAGGUUGACCUCGGAUCGGGUAGGGUUACCCGCUGA
Molecule: unclassified non-coding RNA, 325 nt
Filed under: uncultured fungus
Lineage: Eukaryota; Fungi
Description: partial contains 5.8S ribosomal RNA and internal transcribed spacer 2
Rfam family: 5.8S ribosomal RNA (bases 1-133)
Source: RNAcentral